RNAcentral lists this ribosomal RNA (249 nucleotides) under uncultured bacterium. RNAcentral describes it as "partial 16S ribosomal RNA". It matches the Rfam family "Bacterial small subunit ribosomal RNA", at positions 524 to 773 of the family's 1533-position model. The record is from RNAcentral.
UACGAAGGGGGCUAGCGUUGUUCGGAUUUACUGGGCGUAAAGCGCACGUAGGCGGAUUCUUAAGUCAGGGGUGAAAUCCCGAGGCUCAACCUCGGAACUGCCUUUGAUACUGGGGAUCUCGAGUUCGGGAGAGGUGAGUGGAAUUGCGAGUGUAGAGGUGAAAUUCGUAGAUAUUCGCAAGAACACCAGUGGCGAAGGCGGCUCACUGGCCCGAUACUGACGCUGAGGUGCGAAAGCGUGGGAGCAACA